This is a non-coding RNA of Megalops atlanticus (tarpon), 79 nucleotides long. Lineage: Eukaryota; Metazoa; Chordata; Actinopteri; Elopiformes; Megalopidae. The record is from the annotation of a GenBank genome assembly.
GGCAGUGUAGCAUAGUGGUUAAGGAGCACGACUUGUGACCGAAAGGUUACUGGUUCGAUUCCCCAGUGGGGCACUGCUG